RNAcentral lists this ribosomal RNA (801 nucleotides) under uncultured Rubrobacter sp. Its description in RNAcentral is "bacterial SSU rRNA". It matches the Rfam family "Bacterial small subunit ribosomal RNA", at positions 8 to 796 of the family's 1533-position model. The record is from RNAcentral. Lineage: Bacteria; Bacillati; Actinomycetota; Rubrobacteria; Rubrobacterales; Rubrobacteraceae.
AGAGUUUGAUCCUGGCUCAGGACGAACGCUGACGGUGUGCUUUAGGCAUGCAAGUCGAACGAGAAAGCCCUUCGGGGUGAGUAAAGUGGCGAACGGGUGAGUAACACGUGGGCAACCUGCCCCUCGCAGGGGGACAACCGGAGGAAACUCCGGCUAAUACCUCGUACGCUUGUUGGAUCGCAUGGUCCGGCAAGGAAAGGUAGCUUCGGCCAUCCGGCGAGGGAUGGGCCCGCGUUGCAUUAGCUAGUUGGUGGGGUAACGGCCUACCAAGGCGACGAUGCGUAGCUGGUCUGAGAGGAUGAUCAGCCACACUGGGACUGAGACACGGCCCAGACUCCUACGGGAGGCAGCAGCCAGGAAUCUUGGGCAAUGGGCGAAAGCCUGACCCAGCAACACCGUGUGGGCGAUGAAGGCCUUAGGGUCGUAAAGCCCUGUUGAUAGGGACGAAGGGCGAAGGGUUAAUAGCCCCUAGCUUGACGGUACCUUUCGAGGAAGCCCCGGCUAACUACGUGCCAGCAGCCGCGGUAAUACGUAGGGGGCGAGCGUUGUCCGGAAUUAUUGGGCGUAAAGAGCGUGUAGGCGGUUCGGUAAGUCUGCUGUGAAAUCCUGGGGCUCAACCCCGGGCGUGCAGCGGAUACUGCCGGGCUAGAGGGUGGUAGAGGCGAGUGGAAUUCCGAGUGUAGCGGUGAAAUGCGCAGAUAUUCGGAGGAACACCAGUAGCGAAGGCGGCUCGCUGGGCCACACCUGACGCUGAGACGCGAAAGCGUGGGGAGCGAACAGGAUUAGAUACCCCAGUAGUCC